GACGAACGCUGGCGGCGUGCUUAAAACAUGCAAGUCGAACGGAAAGGCCCUGCUUUUGUGGGGUGCUCGAGUGGCGAACGGGUGAGUAACACGUGAGUAACCUGACCUUGACUUUGGGAUAACUUCAGGAAACUGGGGCUAAUACCGGAUAGGAGAUCUUGCUGCAUGGUGGGGGUUGGAAAGUUUCGGCGGUUGGGGAUCGACUCGCGGCUUAUAAGCUUGUUGGUGGGGUAGUGGCUUACCAAGGCUUGGACGGAUAGCCGGCCUGAGCGGGUGACCGGCCACAUUGCGACUGAGAUACGGCCCAGACGCCUACAAGAAGCAGCAGUGGAGAAUAUUGCACAGUAGGCGGAAACCUAAUGCAGCAACGCCGCGUGCGCGAAAACGGCCUACGGGUUGUAAACCGCUUUCGCCUGUGACGAAGCGUGAUUGACGGUAAUGGGUAGAGAAGCACCGGCUAACUACGUG
This 468-nucleotide ribosomal RNA is filed under the name uncultured bacterium. RNAcentral's name for it is "partial 16S ribosomal RNA". It matches the Rfam family "Bacterial small subunit ribosomal RNA", at positions 28 to 507 of the family's 1533-position model. The record is from RNAcentral.